The sequence is a ribosomal RNA, 2935 nucleotides long. It matches the Rfam family "Bacterial large subunit ribosomal RNA".
GGGUUGUGAGGUUAAGUGACUAAGCGUACACGGUGGAUGCCUAGGCAGUCAGAGGCGAUGAAGGGCGUGCUAAUCUGCGAAAAGCGUCGGUAAGGUGAUAUGAACCGUUACAACCGGCGAUACCCGAAUGGGGAAACCCAGUGUGUUUCGACACACUAUCAUGUCAUGAAUACAUAGUGGCAUGAGGCGAACCGGGGGAACUGAAACAUCUAAGUACCCCGAGGAAAAGAAAUCAACCGAGAUUCCCCCAGUAGCGGCGAGCGAACGGGGAGGAGCCCAGAACCUGAAUCGGCUUGUGUGUUAGUGGAAGCGUCUGGAAAGUCGCGCAGUAAAGGGUGAUAGCCCCGUACACUAAAAUGCACAGGUCGUGAGUUCGAUGAGUAGGGCGGGACACGUGACAUCCUGUCUGAAUAUGGGGGGACCAUCCUCCAAGGCUAAAUACUCCUGACUGACCGAUAGUGAACCAGUACCGUGAGGGAAAGGCGAAAAGAACCCCGGCGAGGGGAGUGAAAUAGAACCUGAAACCGUGUACGUACAAGCAGUGGGAGCACCUUCGUGGUGUGACUGCGUACCUUUUGUAUAAUGGGUCAGCGACUUAUAUUUUGUAGCAAGGUUAACCGUAUAGGGGAGCCGUAGGGAAACCGAGUCUUAACUGGGCGAAUAGUUGCAAGGUAUAGACCCGAAACCCGGUGAUCUAGCCAUGGGCAGGUUGAAGGUUGGGUAACACUAACUGGAGGACCGAACCGACUAAUGUUGAAAAAUUAGCGGAUGACUUGUGGCUGGGGGUGAAAGGCCAAUCAAACCGGGAGAUAGCUGGUUCUCCCCGAAAGCUAUUUAGGUAGCGCCUCGUGAACUCAUCUUCGGGGGUAGAGCACUGUUUCGGCUAGGGGGCCAUCCCGGCUUACCAAACCGAUGCAAACUCCGAAUACCGAAGAAUGUUAUCACGGGAGACACACGGCGGGUGCUAACGUCCGUCGUGAAGAGGGAAACAACCCAGACCGCCAGCUAAGGUCCCAAAGUCAUGGUUAAGUGGGAAACGAUGUGGGAAGGCAUAGACAGCCAGGAUGUUGGCUUAGAAGCAGCCAUCAUUUAAAGAAAGCGUAAUAGCUCACUGGUCGAGUCGGCCUGCGCGGAAGAUGUAACGGGGCUAAACCAUGCACCGAAGCUGCGGCAGCGACGCUUAGGCGUUGUUGGGUAGGGGAGCGUUCUGUAAGCCGUUGAAGGUGGCCUGUGAGGGUUGCUGGAGGUAUCAGAAGUGCGAAUGCUGACAUAAGUAACGAUAAAGCGGGUGAAAAGCCCGCUCGCCGGAAGACCAAGGGUUCCUGUCCAACGUUAAUCGGGGCAGGGUGAGUCGACCCCUAAGGCGAGGCUGAAAAGCGUAGUCGAUGGGAAACAGGUUAAUAUUCCUGUACUUGGUGUUACUGCGAAGGGGGGACGGAGAAGGCUAGGCUAGCCGGGCGACGGUUGUCCCGGUUUAAGCGUGUAGGGGGUGUGACCUGGUAAAUCCGGUUACAUACCAACCCUGAGGCGUGAUGACGAUGCACUACGGUGCAGAAGUAGUUGAUGCCCUGCUUCCAGGAAAAGCCUCUAAGCUCUAGGUAACAUUAAAUCGUACCCCAAACCGACACAGGUGGUCAGGUAGAGAAUACCAAGGCGCUUGAGAGAACUCGGGUGAAGGAACUAGGCAAAAUGGUGCCGUAACUUCGGGAGAAGGCACGCUGGCAUGUAGGUGAAGUCCCUUGCGGAUGGAGCUGAAGCCAGUCGAAGAUACCAGCUGGCUGCAACUGUUUAAUAAAAACACAGCACUGUGCAAACACGAAAGUGGACGUAUACGGUGUGACGCCUGCCCGGUGCUGGAAGGUUAAUUGAUGGGGUCAGCCGCAAGGCGAAGCUCUUGAUCGAAGCCCCAGUAAACGGCGGCCGUAACUAUAACGGUCCUAAGGUAGCGAAAUUCCUUGUCGGGUAAGUUCCGACCUGCACGAAUGGCGUAAUGAUGGCCAGGCUGUCUCCACCCGAGACUCAGUGAAAUUGAACUCGCUGUGAAGAUGCAGUGUACCCGCGGCAAGACGGAAAGACCCCGUGAACCUUUACUAUAGCUUGACACUGAACAUUGAGCCUUGAUGUGUAGGAUAGGUGGGAGGCUUUGAAGCGUGGACGCCAGUCUGCGUGGAGCCAUCCUUGAAAUACCACCCUUUAAUGUUUGAUGUUCUAACUCGGCCCCAUAAUCUGGGGUGAGGACAGUGUCUGGUGGGUAGUUUGACUGGGGCGGUCUCCUCCCAAAGAGUAACGGAGGAGCACGAAGGUUAGCUAAUCACGGUCGGACAUCGUGAGGUUAGUGCAAAGGCAUAAGCUAGCUUGACUGCGAGAGUGACGGCUCGAGCAGGUACGAAAGUAGGUCUUAGUGAUCCGGUGGUUCUGAAUGGAAGGGCCAUCGCUCAACGGAUAAAAGGUACUCCGGGGAUAACAGGCUGAUACCGCCCAAGAGUUCAUAUCGACGGCGGUGUUUGGCACCUCGAUGUCGGCUCAUCACAUCCUGGGGCUGAAGUAGGUCCCAAGGGUAUGGCUGUUCGCCAUUUAAAGUGGUACGCGAGCUGGGUUUAGAACGUCGUGAGACAGUUCGGUCCCUAUCUGCCGUGGGCGUUGGAAGAUUGAGAGGGGUUGCUCCUAGUACGAGAGGACCGGAGUGAACGCACCACUGGUGUUCGGGUUGUCAUGCCAAUGGCAUUGCCCGGUAGCUAAGUGCGGAAAAGAUAAGCGCUGAAAGCAUCUAAGCGCGAAACUUGCCUCAAGAUGAGUCUUCCCUGGGCCUUUAAGGCCCCUGAAGGAACGUUUAAGACUAAGACGUUGAUAGGCUGGGUGUGUAAGUGCAGCGAUGCAUUGAGCUAACCAGUACUAAUGAUCCGUGAGGCUUAACCUUACAACACCGAAGGUGUUU